UAGCGGCUGAGGGCCCUACCUGCGGCAGCGGCGCCGUCUGGCGGGAGCGCGCUCCCCGCGCCUCGCACGGCGCCGGAGGGGCCUGGCGGUGGUACCUUUGCCAUUAGCGGCGGCUGCGCAUGGGACCCAGCCUCGCCUGGAGCUUCAAGAUGUCAUUGUGGGUCUCCAUAGCCGCUUACCGCAGCCUAACGCCUUGCAUGACUCUGACCUCUUCUCAAACAGCUGGGCCCCAAAAUGAUCACUGGUAAAAGGCCUUUGACAGAAAACGACCUGUAGCAAGACUUACCUGCACCACUGACAGUGACCACUUGGUGUCGCUCUUUCCCACCGCUAACACCAUGCCACGUUAAGGACCUUUCCUUCUGGACGCCUUUCUGCAGUCAGCUGAGUAUGAGCAGAGACCCAUGUAAUGAAACCAAAGUCUUCAUCUUUGCAAAGCUGCAACUUGGAAAGGGACCUGGGGGUAUUGGUUGUCAGUCGACUGAACGUGAGUCAACAGUGUGCCCCGGUGGUCAGGAAGGCUAAAGACAUCCUAGUUUGCAUUAGAAACACGGUGCCCAGCAGGAACAGCUGCUACAGAAACAAAUAGGAUCUUUAGAAUGUUAUCAGCUGCUUCCCAUGUCAGAGAAAUAAGAGAUCAAGGAUGAGCCUGAGUGAAGAGAGGAUGAGUCAAGCCUCACAGCUUGGAAAGAUGUGAAAAAGACCCAAAAGCAAAGAAUAAGAGGAUGUGAGCUGUGCUGUGCUUACAAUGAAAUCACUGGGAAUUUUGCCAUGAAAGCACAACUGAGUUGUUCUUCCAGCAUUUCAGUACCCAUCACCAUAUUAUCUAGGCGCCACCAUAAGAUUAAGAAGCUCUGCAGUGACAUUCUCAACAUGAUCUGUUCAAAGGUCAUUAGCAGAGCCUUUCAUGCUGGAAAAGACUGGAGGAGAGUACGGAAGUGAGCUGCAAAAGGAGAGAGAAAGGCAAAAGAUCUUGGAAAUGUACAUUCCCUUCAUGGGGGCAGUUUCUCCUGUGCAGGAGGGCCCCAAGCACAAGUGCCAGAUAUCUCAGAUCUUCCAUGUGGGACA
Pogoniulus pusillus (Red-fronted tinkerbird) is the source of this 1068-nucleotide long non-coding RNA. RefSeq lists it as uncharacterized. The transcript has 4 exons. Lineage: Eukaryota; Metazoa; Chordata; Aves; Piciformes; Lybiidae. The record is from RefSeq and is a predicted model, not a curated record.